RNAcentral lists this ribosomal RNA (253 nucleotides) under uncultured prokaryote. RNAcentral's name for it is "partial 16S ribosomal RNA". It matches the Rfam family "Bacterial small subunit ribosomal RNA", at positions 524 to 776 of the family's 1533-position model. The record is from RNAcentral.
UACGGAGGAUGCAAGCGUUAUCCGGAUUCAUUGGGUUUAAAGGGUGCGUAGGCGGGAUGGUAAGUCAGGGGUGAAAGCCAACAGCUCAACUGUUGAAUUGCCUUUGAUACUGCUAUUCUUGAGUAUGUUUGAAGUGGGCGGAAUGUGACAUGUAGCGGUGAAAUGCGUAGAGAUGUCACAGAACACCGAUUGCGAAGGCAGCUCACUAAGCCAUUACUGACGCUGAGGCACGAAAGCGUGGGGAUCAAACAGG